RNAcentral lists this ribosomal RNA (497 nucleotides) under uncultured bacterium. RNAcentral's name for it is "partial 16S ribosomal RNA". It matches the Rfam family "Bacterial small subunit ribosomal RNA", at positions 28 to 507 of the family's 1533-position model. The record is from RNAcentral.
GACGAACGCUGGCGGCGUGCCUAAUACAUGCAAGUUGAGCGAUGAAGAUUGGUGCUUGCACCAAUUUGAAGAGCAGCGAACGGGUGAGUAACGCGUGGGGAAUCUGCCUUUGAGCGGGGGACAACAUUUGGAAACGAAUGCUAAUACCGCAUAACAACUUUAAACAUAAGUUUUAAGUUUGAAAGAUGCAAUUGCAUCACUCAAAGAUGAUCCCGCGUUGUAUUAGCUAGUUGGUGAGGUAAAGGCUCACCAAGGCGAUGAUACAUAGCCGACCUGAGAGGGUGAUCGGCCACAUUGGGACUGAGACACGGCCCAAACUCCUACGGGAGGCAGCAGUAGGGAAUCUUCGGCAAUGGACGAAAGUCUGGCCGAGCAACGCCGCGUGAGUGAAGAAGGUUUUCGGAUCGUAAAACUCUGUUGGUAGAGAACAACGUUGGUGAGAGUGGAAAGCUCAUCAAGUGACGGUAACUACCCAGAAAGGGACGGCUAACUACGUG